GAAAUGGAGCAGAGAGAGACCACACAGCGGAGAAGUGGCAGAAGUGAAAUUUGGGACCAGGCAGCAUGACUCUGGAUCCCAAACACUCAGCCACUCAUCAGAUUGGCCCAAAGUCUUCUGAAGGCUACAUCAACAUUCUGUAUCUUUCUUUCCCUGGGGCAAAAAUAUUUUCCUCUUCUACUUACAAUGGAAAGACAAUGUCCCGGACAGCUUCAAAGUGACAAGUUGCAAUGAGAGUCUCUCUGAAAUCUGUGAAGUUGACACGAUAAAUCUGUGAUUCUUCUGUUCCUAUGAAAAGAUGGUGUCCUUCCCCUCGAAGAGUGAUAGAAGUGAUGGCACCUUGUAACUGGAUUUUCCUUUGAAGAAAAGCAAAGAGAUUCCAGAUCCCUCUGCUCACCAAAUGUUUAAUGAAUAUGAACUUUUUAAAAUAAGAAUGUAUAAAUGAAUGUGACCCUAGAGACCCAUCCUUGCUCUGCAACUAAGUUAGUUCGACAAUAAGAAUUCAGUGGGGAUUCUAGUUCAAGGAGCCAGCAUGGGAAAUGCAGUAUUUCACAAAGACUAAUUUGUUGGUGGGACACAGAACAGUUAAUGAAGAAAGGAUGGACCCCCAAGUCAUAUCCCAGCUUCCUCACUAACUAGAGCUCUGUGACUCUAGAAAAGCUGCCAAAAAUCUCUGGACCUCAGUUUAUUCAACUACAGAAUAACUCCUCCUCUACAGAGUCGUAGUGAAGACUGGAGAUCAUGGAGGUAAUGUACAUGCGGCCAUAGAGCGCUGUCAGGAAAUACUGGCUAUUGGCAUCUGGCCUCUCUAGAAGACAAGAUAAAGCCCAGGACUCUAGGGGUAAAGUCAGGGAUCUGGUGGUCUGUUUUCUCUUUCUACUUCCCUUUCUCGUUUCCAUGACCUCAUGUGAGCUGCAUCCUCAGUCUAUUAAAACCCAAAGAGGCAGAAAUCUCUCCAUCCAAUUUGAGCCUAUGCUGUCACAGAAGGUUAGUUUGGAACAUAUAUUAGAAAUCUUGUAAUAACUGCUUUGAAUCUAAUUAUCUUCAUUCCAGUGGGAAUUUUUGUAUAUUAGAAACAAGGAAUUAAAAAAUUAGGGGGUUAAUUUUUUUUAUUUUUGGGGGGUAGUGGUUAAUUUUUUAUACUUACCUCACCUAUUCACAGACUACCUAACAUUGUUCUUAAGUUGCCUCUCUCUCCUAUUCCCUUCAUACAAACACAAAACUGGUCCAAAUACAUUCUCAGUAAGGCUUAUCCUGAGCUCUGAAUUUAAAAUUGCAGCCUGUCCCCUGUCCCCCACUUCAAACUUGGACCUCCCGUCUCCCUACAUCCUGCUCCACUUGUCUCCACUGUACUUGUCACCCUUUAAUACUAUGCACUGCUUGUUUAUUUGGUUUAUUCUACGGUCUUUUCCCUCUUGCUAGAAUGUAAGCUCCAUGAGGGCAGGGGGUUUUUCUUCAUUUUUGUUUGCUUUAGCCAUUGGCAUACCCCACACAUUCCCAGAAGAGCCCUCCAUACCUAGUGAGUGCUCCAUACAGAUCUGAAGGAAAACAGCCCAUACACCACAUCCGCUUUUUUCUGCAAGGUAUCGCAGGUACCCCGGGCCUCCUUCGAGCCGGCAGAGGCCACAUGGAGUGCAUCUAGGGGAAUCUGGCUUUGUCGAAGCUAAGUUCAACUUUUGCCUCUGUACCUCCUUGAAAUAUAUUUCCUGACCUCGCUAUCCAACAAGAUCACUCCCUUCUCUGAUCUUCUCUACAACAUCCAUGAUAUAUUUCACUUUAUCUGGAUCAUCAGAUUUGUGUUUCUAUGUUAUCCUGCAUUAUAGUGACUUUUUCACGUGACUUUUAUCUCCAAACCAGACUGCGUUCUGGGAGGGCAAAGACCAUAUCUUAUUUUAUGUUUUAAUAGCAUUAGUACAUUAGUUUGGAUGGAGAUUCUCAAUAAAUACUUGUUAAUGACAAUGUAUAAAGCUUUAUUUCAUUUUAUUUUAAUUAGAUAAGCCAGGAAAAGUACAUAGCAUAGUAUCUGGUACAUAGUAAUAGCUGGUAAUGUUGGCUAUUUGUAUUAAAAUUUGUAUUCAAAUGUAUUGGCUAUUAGCAUAGUGACUGCUAUCUACCUAUGUAAUAGGUACCCAUUGCAGAAUAAAUUUCAUUGAAUAAAAAAAUUUUG
Non-coding RNA from Manis javanica (Malayan pangolin), 2167 nucleotides. NCBI's taxonomy places the organism in Eukaryota, Metazoa, Chordata, Mammalia, Pholidota, Manidae. The record is from RefSeq and is a predicted model, not a curated record.